This 107-nucleotide small nucleolar RNA is filed under the name Neurospora crassa. RNAcentral describes it as "box C/D snoRNA CD40". The record is from RNAcentral. Lineage: Eukaryota; Fungi; Ascomycota; Sordariomycetes; Sordariales; Sordariaceae.
UUUUAUGAUGAGUUUGUUCCAAUUCAUGAGUUUUUCUAAGUUGGGCCCAGCGUUUUGCUGGGCUUUGAAGUGAUUAUCGUUAUACAACAUAAGCCAAUCCUCUGAAA